Salvelinus namaycush (lake trout) is the source of this 1362-nucleotide long non-coding RNA. RefSeq lists it as uncharacterized. The transcript has 2 exons. NCBI's taxonomy places the organism in Eukaryota, Metazoa, Chordata, Actinopteri, Salmoniformes, Salmonidae. The record is from RefSeq and is a predicted model, not a curated record.
GUCCUUGGCUUGGAAUGCAACAUUCUGGUCCUUGGCUUGGAAUGCAACAUUCUGGUCCUUGGCUUGGAAUGCAACAUUCUGGUCCUUGGCUUGAAUGUUGCAUUCUGGUACUUGGCUUGGAAUGCAACAUUCUGGUACUUGGCUUGGAAUGCAACAUUCUGGUACUUGGCUUGGAAUGCAACAUUCUGGUACUUGGCUUGGAAUGCAACAUUCUGGUACUUGGCUUGGAAUGCAACAUUCUGGUACUUGGCUUGGAAUGCAACAUUCUGGUACUUGGCUUGGAAUGCAACAUUCUGGUACUUGGCUUGGAAUGCAACAUUCUGGUACUUGGCUUGGAAUGCAACAUUCUGGUACUUGGCUUGGAAUGCAACAUUCUGGUACUUGGUUUGGCCCGCAACAUUCUGGUCCUUGGCUUGGAAUGCAACAUUCUGGUCCUUGGCUUGGAAUGCAACAUUCUGGUCCUUGGCUUGGAAUGCAACAUUCUGGUCCUUGGCUUGGAAUGCAACAUUCUGGUCCUUGGUUUGGCCAGCAACAUUCUGUUCAUUUGAGGAAGCCCUCAGGGAGGUUGAGCCACUCUGCUACUUGGUGAUAAAAAGGUCUCGUAAUGUUGAUCCCGAGGAGUUGCGUAUUUGCACUUCAAAUGGAGCAAGUUUUUCACUAAGUACUUGGGUAUCUGGAAUGAUGAUGAAUUGUCUUUUGAAACACACAUUGAAAACUUUACAAAGAAGCUGAAAUCUAUUAUUUUUUAUUAUAUAGAAAUAAAUCCUGCCUCUGUUUAAACAACGCUGCUCCCUGUAACAGACUAUGGUGACAUUUAUAUGCACGCGGCAGCCUCUGUUUUGAAACCAUUGGACUCAGUAUUCAAUUCAGCAAUACAUUUUAUCACUGGGGACAGUUUUAGGACUCAUUGUCUUAUUUACAAACAUGUGGGAUGGACCUCUGUAAGAAGAGAGCUGCACUCUUCUUUACUUACAUAGCAGUCUUGCAGAAACUUCCUCUGUACAUUACUUUAUUGAUUCAAUUUAGACGUACAAAUUACCAAACCCGUUCUCAGGGAUGGAUAACUCCGGAGAUCCCUUUAGUCGCCACAGAAUUAGGAAAAUCUGCUUUUAGUUUUGCCCCUUUGUGGAACUUUCAGGCAUUUAAAAUGAUUGAUUGGAGACUUAUGUUACAGAAUGCCAUUGCAUUUCUUAAAUCUGUUUAAUGUUGUGUAUGUGUUUUAUAGUGUGUUUUAUUUGGAAUGAUUAUGUAGGGCUGUUGUGCUUUAUUUAUGUAUUGGGUUUGUUUGUAAAUGUAUACAAGGCUCUCUUGUAAAAUAGUAUUAUUUCAAUGUGACUGUUUAAAUAAAGGUUAAUAUAUGCA